CACAACUUGAUUAUUUUAUUUGUUCGCCAGAAAAUUACGGGUACUAUAUUACCUAAAACUCAAAAGACUUGACGGUGUCCCACCCUACCUAGAGGAGCCUGUUCCAUAAUCGAUAUUCCACGCUCAACCUAACCACCACUAGCACCACAAACUCAGCCUAUAUACCGCCGUCAUCAGCUUACCCCUUAAAGGUCUUAUAGUAAGCAUAAUAGUAUUUAACUAAUACGUCAGGUCAAGGUGUAGCUCAUGUGGUGGCGUUAAUGGGCUACAUUAUUUAACCUAAAUAAUUACGGACUACCUCUUGAAACAGCCGUAUAAAGGUGGAUUUAGCAGUAACUUUAAGCAAGAAAACUUAAAUUAACACUCAGCCCUGGGACA
RNAcentral lists this ribosomal RNA (378 nucleotides) under Arthrosaura kockii. Its description in RNAcentral is "partial small subunit ribosomal RNA". It matches the Rfam family "Bacterial small subunit ribosomal RNA", at positions 845 to 1387 of the family's 1533-position model. Lineage: Eukaryota; Metazoa; Chordata; Lepidosauria; Squamata; Gymnophthalmidae. The record is from RNAcentral.